GCUCAUGGCUCAGGAUGAACGCUAGCUACAGGCUUAACACAUGCAAGUCGAGGGGAAACGACAUCGAAAGCUUGCUUUUGAUGGGCGUCGACCGGCGCACGGGUGAGUAGCGCGUAUCCAACCUGCCCACCACUUGGGGAUAACCUUGCGAAAGUAAGACUAAUACCCAAUGAUAUCUCUAGAAGACAUCUGAAAGAGAUUAAAGAUUCAUCGGUGAUGGAUGGGGAUGCG
This 231-nucleotide ribosomal RNA is filed under the name uncultured bacterium. Its description in RNAcentral is "partial 16S ribosomal RNA". It matches the Rfam family "Bacterial small subunit ribosomal RNA", at positions 15 to 235 of the family's 1533-position model. The record is from RNAcentral.